RNAcentral lists this unclassified non-coding RNA (1954 nucleotides) under Patiria miniata (bat star). RNAcentral's name for it is "post-GPI attachment to proteins factor 3-like, transcript variant X1". The record is from RNAcentral. Lineage: Eukaryota; Metazoa; Echinodermata; Asteroidea; Valvatida; Asterinidae.
CACACGUUUUGGGCUAUAUGUUCGUGUACAAUGGCUUCUUUUGACGCCCAAUUUAGAUAAGGCAUACGUGUUUCAUGAAAAUUGUUGGGCUACAUGCGUUGAAGUAACGAAGGUCUAACGUUAGAUCGGAAUCGGAACUUUUUUGGGGUAAUAGAUACUGAUAAUGAAGUUGACGAUACCAUCAACUACCACCAUGCAUCUAGUUGCCUUCCUUUGCCUAUUCUCAAUCUGGCUUCUGUCACCGAGUGUGAAUGCAUCUUGGGGUGAUCAGCAUCCGGUCUUCCAGAAUUAUCGGCGUCACUGUCUGAACAUGAAUUGCAGCACAGAUGCCAAACUGACUAGAUUCAAUACUAGACAGCCGCUAUCCAUGAGGUUAUUAGGUUGGGACUGCUCGUCUGAGUGUACCUAUGAAAGCAUGUGGCAUCUCACACACAAGGCUUUGGAAGAGGUUGAAAGAGUUCCACAGUUUUAUGGAAAGUGGCCUUUUGUGCGCUUUAUGGGCAUGCAGGAACCGGCAUCUUGUAUCUUCUCCAUUCUAAAUGGAGCCGUUGCAGUCUACAUGCUGAGUCGAUUCAGGAGACAAGUUCCAUCCAAUGCUCCCAUGUAUGAAGCGUGGCACGGCUACUUUGCUGUUCAGAUCAACACGUGGGUAUGGUCCACUGUUUUCCAUUUCAGAGAUGUAACAUGGACAGAGAAAAUGGACUACAUAUCUGCAUUUUCACUGAUUGUUUCUGGAAUGUUGAUGUUCAUUCUAAGAGUGUUUAGUAUGAAGGGAAAUACAAUCAACAUGAAGGUGGCUGUUCCUACUGUAACUCCAAUUGCCAUGUUCUUUUUGUCUCAUGCAUUCUACCUGGGCUUCACCAAGUUUAGUUACAGCUACAACCUCAAAGUCAAUCUAACAUUUGCAAUAGUCAGUUCAGUUGCGUGGUUACUCUGGUCCAUCAUUGUUCGUUCAAGACAGCCAUACGUAUGGAAAGUAGCCCUCUCUAUUCUGUCAGGAAACUUAUUAACUCUUCUUGAAGUCUUCGACUUUCCACCAGUAUGGUGGGUCUUUGAUGCACAUUCUAUAUGGCAUGGAGGCACUGCACCGCUUGCAUUUGUUUUCUAUAGUUUUGUGAUUGACGACUGCCUUUAUCUGUACGAGGAGUAUAAGAAAACACCAGACUAUAGGAGGAAAGGAGUUUGAUCAUCUUAGAUAAGAAAACUGAAAUCACAAAUUGCUGCAGCUUUAUUUUUUUCCUGUGAUUUACAGUUUCUCUGUGAAACCAAAAGUGCCAAAAUAUUUAGAACCAACAUACAUAAUGUAGUCGUGAACCAAACUUUCUUAUUAUGUGCGCCCUAGCCGUGUGCAGUGUUGCUUUGUGAGUACAUCGUAGUUGUGUUUUUAUUAGUACUAAAAGAUUGUGACAAUUGUUUUUACAUUUUGUUCCCUGCAACAUAUGAGUUUAGUUUGGUUGCUUAAUUUCCCAUUUGAUAUUCUGAUGAUGUCUCUAGAUUAGAAAUUUCAGUCUUAUUUAUAUCAUAUUGAAUUUUAGGUCUUUGUAAAUUAAAUUCACCAAAGAUGAUACAUAUAUCGUAAAAGUCAACAAUUAUGCAGUGAUUUACUCAUUUUAUACAGAGAUUUAGACACAAUUCUUUAAUUUUAUUUUUUUUUUCUAUAUAAAAUCACUUAAAUAAUGCAGUCAUGUGGAAAAUGUACUCCUUUAGUUUUGUACUUUGAUUUGUAUAAUGUACUGUAAAUAACAGAUAUUUUACGUCAAGAAAUUUAACAGGUGUACAUGUACUUUCAAUCACUUUUCCGAAGGUCCCUUACAAUCUAACUAAUUUUAAAAUCACAUUUAUAUUUGUAUAUAUUUAUUGUUGAUACUCAUUUUGAAAACUAUAAAAUUGAUAAGGGUUUUUGUUGAUGAGAUGCUCUAAGAGUGAAAUAAAACACUGUACAAAGGAAGUGAUA